UGCGGGCAGCUCGCUGUCUCCUGGACCCCCGCCUUCCCCACGGGCCCCACUCUGUGGCUGUCUGGGGUACUGGGGGGUCUGCACUCAGCUCAUCUCCCUAGUGGUCCCUGAGACUGAGCCCCUGGCUCCUGGGUCCCUCCGCAGAGUGAGGGCCGGGCCUGCCCACGCUAAGCUUCAUAGCGGACACUGACAGGCCAAAGCUGGCCCCAGCCCUGCAGGGCAGAGGCCUCUGCCCCUCACCCCCCUGCCUCUCUCCCUACCCCUCCGGGCUGAGCACUGGCUCAGAGGUGAGCCCUGCUCCUCUCUCGGCCCCUGCUGCUGGGUUACUACACUUAGCGUCCAGUGUGGCGGGGAGGGGCUCUGAGAGCACUGCAGGGCCGCCCCGGCCCCCACGCAGUGCCCCCGUCACGUCACGCUGCCUCUAACCCCAGCCGCUUUCAGCACGGCUGCCCGGCACUGCCCGGCUUCCUUCGCCGUGUGUGCGUGGUCGGCUGAGUGCAGGAACGCAGGAGACCCGCUGAGCGGGCGGGCACAGCGCCUGAGCUGAAAGCCCAGCAGACCCCCGCCUGCUGCCUCGGACUCGGAGACAGGGAAGAAGCUGGGAAGCCACGCCAGGAGACAACUGGAGUAACGAGAAGCAGGCGGGGGGCUAGAGCAGCCUCCACGUCCACUGGAGAUGAGGUUGGCUCUGGCCGUCAGUGCCCAGUGCAUUUGCAACACCUACGUGCUAGACUGGGCACAUGCCCGGCUGUCAAUAGGUGGACGCACCGGGCCAACAACACCGGCAUGCCAGACGGAGAAGGUGCAGCCAGCCCGCCUUCUCCAGAUGGAGCCCCGGCAAACUGCUCAGGAGGGGCUCCGCCACCCCUGAGCGUCCAUUACCCCAGAGGCGCAGAAACCAGUCUCGAACACAGCGGCUCUGGCAGGUGUACUGCUGGACUGUGAACUAAGCCACGCCCGGGCAGCCUCGUCCUUUUCCCUUUGCGGCAGCAUGACGACCGCCAACGUCUAGAAACAACUGGACAGAGAGCUUCCCCCGACAGAGGCUCCGGCCCCACCGCCACGCGGGAGCCCCUGCCACGGAGCCUGGUUCUGUGUGCCCCAGGGGCUGGGCCCGCUGGGGCUGCCACGGCUUGGCUGAACAUGGACCCCCAGAGGCGGAGGCCCAGGUGCUUGUCCCGGAAGCAGCCAGGUUUGCGGGCUGCGGCACUCACGACGGCCCGAGCUCUCCCAGAGCGAGUGCGCGUCCGGAGACGUCUUCGUAGCAGCCACCAGGGGGAAAACCACCCGCUGGGCGACUCUGGGCAUCACCCAAGCAGGCGCUGUGCUCUCCAGAAGCCGCGGCCCAGAGACGAGCAGCGGCCCCACCCGGAGGCAGUGCUCAAGAGUCAGGCACAAGAACUGACAGGACCUGCGGGAACGCUCAAAAUUCAGCAGAAAACAAAGCUUUCGGUGUUUGUUUGUCUUGGGGCCACGCCUGGUGCUCAGGGCUUACUCCUGGCUCUGCACUCAGGGCUCACCCCUGGUGGGGCUCGGGGGGCCAUAUGGGACCUGGGGACAGAGUCUGGGUCAGAUGCAUGCAAGGCCAGUGUUCUACCCACUGUGCUAUCUCUCUGGCCCCCAGAGAGAUUGUAUGUGUGUGUGUGUGUAUGUGUGUGUAUAAAUAAAAGCCUUGAACAGACACUUCCCCCACAAAGAGAGUAGAGUGGGCAGGACCCUCGCAGAGAUGCCCAGCAAGACCCCAGCCCCUCUUGGUUACCUGCUAGAGGUGAGAUUUAAAGGGCCGACAGCCCUGCAGACAUUUUUCCCUCCCUCUGGAGCAUAGCGGGGACAGUGGGGAGAGCUUAGGCUUAGGUGUGUCUUUAAGGGGGCACUUCCUCCCACUUCGCUCUGACAUCCCCCCACUAAGGCAGACUCCCAGGACAGUGCCCGGCACGAGCACUGGUAGGGAGUGGGGGGUUGCUGGGUGCUGUACCAUAUCUCCAGCUGAAUGGACGACAGCAGGGGACCUUCCUGUCACUUAAGGGGGUGUGCACAGAGCAGGGAGGAGGCGAGCGCUCUCGUGGCCUCACUCCCAUGGGUGCAGCCCUCGGUGACAGUCCUGUCCCUGCCUAUAGGACAUGCCGGGCCAGGAUGGGGUCACCGCGGGGGGCUUUGGCCCCAUGCAGGCCUCUAACUAAGCCGCAGCUCGGCUGAGAGCUCAGGAGAGAGGAAGGGUCCGCACACCCCGAGGUCUCCGGCACAGCCUCUCACUGCCCACUUCAGAAGCUCUGCACAAGGUCCUGGAGGGGCCCAGGAGCAACGCACCAGCCUUCCGGCCACCCAGACCGGGAGUCGUGGUGCUGACUGGGCCCUGCACACGGGCCACUGGGGCCGCCAGGGCAGAUGCCACCCGGUUCUCUGACGCAAACCUCUGCCACAGAAUUGUUGGUCAUAGAGCAAACUCCCCUUUAAAAAUAUAUUCUUGGGGCUGGAGCGAGAGCACAGCGGGGAGGGUGUCUGCCUUGCAUGCGGCCAACCGGGUUCGAUUCCCAGCAUUUCAUAUGGUCCCCCGAGCACCGCCAGGAGUAAUUCCUGAGUGCAUGAGCCAGGAGUAACCCCUGUGCAUCGCUGGGUGUGACCCAAAAAGACAAAAUAAAACAAAACAAACAGUUGUGCUCGCUUCGGCAGCACAUAUACUAAAAAAUACAUAUUUUAAAAAGGACACAGUGGAGCACUGAAGUUGGGUCCUUCCCAGCCCUGUCGUCGUUCCCCGGAGCCUCCUGGUCAGGAAUCACAGACCCAGCCUGCCGAGGCGCCGGUGCCUGGUUCUCCCACUGCUGAGUGGCUCUGAGGGUCGGGGCCUCCGGCCUGGCCCUCGGGCCGUCUGCACGGGCUGGAGCUCGCACCUCGAGCACCUGAAAACCUGCACCUGCAGAUCCCCAGAUGCAGACCAGGACCCCCUGGAGAGGCCGCCCCCUCCAGGAGGCCUGUGGGCCCCAGGGUGCAGAACCCGCCAUGGCGUCUCUGGACGCGGAGGCCAGUGCCAGCCCUCGGCUCUGCCCACGCCCCGGAGCCUGGGCCUGACCCUCGCAGUGCCCCGCGCAGGGGACGGAGGCCUAGGACUCGGCUCCACAUCCCCACAGGCCAGGAAUGAACAUGAGGACAGUGGGGUGCCCGCGCUCGUCCGCACCCCCUGCAAGCUGCCCUCCCGUUUGAACUGUAGGGUAGUCUGGGGCCCAAGUCGCAGCAAAUAGCUUUAGGGUGGCUUGGGGUUUCUUUCUUUUUCAAUGUUUUUAUCUCCCCCCCCCCCGUGGGCCUUAGGAAGUUUUAUAAGAUAUUUUCACCGGUGAGUCCUGGUAUUUCCUCUGUAGCUGUUGUGGCUGUCUUCACUGCUUUCCAGCCUCUCUUCUUCCAUCCAAAACUUACGCAUUUUAUUGACUUUUUUAAUAGCUUCAAAAGAUUGUUUUGCGGAGCCAAAGGCCAAAACCCAGGGCCUCACUCACACAAGCCAGGUCCGUGCCGCGUGGCGCGCCCAUUCCCAGCCCUCCGAGCUGGACGGGGGGAUUCGGGACGAGGCCACAGCGGGCUCCCGCAGCCCCCCUCGCCAGCCAGCCAAGUGCGGUGUUGCUCUGCCCAGGUGGUGAUGGGGGCGGGGGCGGGGGCGGGCGCAGGGGUGGGACUCAGGCCCCGGGACAUGCCAGAUGGUGCCCAGGUCUGCGGGUUGACUUUUUCUUGAAAAGGUCAGUAGGAUUUCUGGCUGCUCGGACGCUGUGAUCUGAUUAGCUUCUCCCUGACUGAUUCUCCCCGGCCGGUUCAGAUAUGCUAAGGCAAAAUAUUCUCAACCACGCACACAGGGAAAGUGCAAGAGGAGGCCAAGGGCAAAACAAUAGAAAAAUAAAUUAUCUGGCAUCUGCCCCAGCAGGCAGGCUUGAAAGGUGGUGGAAAGGCACAGCAGAAACGACACCUGUGCCUAUAUGUUCACUGCAGCACUGUUCACAAUAGCCAAAAUAUGGAAACAACCCCAGUGCCCUAAAACAGAAGACUGGGUAAAGAAACCUUGGUACAUCUACACAAUGGAAUACUAUACAGCUGUUAGGGGAAAUGAAGUCAUGAAAUUUGCUUAUAAAUGGAUAGAUAUGGAGAGUAUCAUGCAAGUGAAGUGAGUCAGAAAGAGAGGGACAGACAUAGAGGGACUGCACUCAUUUGUGGAGUGUAGGGUAGCAUCACAUGAGGCUGACACCCAAGGACAGUAGAUACAAGGGCCAGGGAGAUUGCCCCAUAGCUGGAAAACUGCUUCAUGAGCGGAGGGGAGAAGGCAGAUGGAAUAGAGAAGGGAUCACUAAGAAAAUGAUGGCUGGAGGAAUCAGUCGGGAUGGGAGAUGCAUGCCGAAAGUAGAUAAUGGACCAAACAUGAUGACCUCUCAGUGUCUGUGUUGCAAGCCAUAA
Molecule: long non-coding RNA, 4428 nt
Organism: Sorex araneus (European shrew)
Lineage: Eukaryota; Metazoa; Chordata; Mammalia; Eulipotyphla; Soricidae
Exons: 3
Source: RefSeq, a predicted model, not a curated record